AAGCUACACUCUGUGUCAGAAGUUGAAAACAACAAUGAUCUGGCUCAAUUUAAGCUUGCUACAGAAAACUACAGUCUGACCUAUUCCAGCAUUCUCUGAUCACUGGGAUUUGCUGUUAUGUGGACUGUCACAUA
Molecule: small nucleolar RNA, 134 nt
Organism: Lepisosteus oculatus (spotted gar)
Lineage: Eukaryota; Metazoa; Chordata; Actinopteri; Semionotiformes; Lepisosteidae
Source: Ensembl